Molecule: long non-coding RNA, 418 nt
Organism: Gigantopelta aegis
Lineage: Eukaryota; Metazoa; Mollusca; Gastropoda; Neomphalida; Peltospiridae
Exons: 3
Source: RefSeq, a predicted model, not a curated record
UGCUUAACGUACAUUUGUUUCUGUAUUUAGAUUAAAUUCAGAAAGAUAUGAACGGUAUCGCUAUUUUACGUCUAUGGACAUAUUUUAAGUGUACAACUAAACAUAAUAUUAUUAUUUAUUAACUUGCUUGGUACUCGUUUAUAAUAUAUUAAAGAUGGCGGAGCUUGCACAACGGUUAACUGCUAUUUUAAUAAUGCUCUACAGUGUGGAUAUUACCAAGACAGGGAACGUUUAAAAUGGAUAACGACAGUAUUCGUGUAAACCGGCCUUGGUGACGUCGUGGUUUAGCCAUCGGGCAUAAAGAUGGUUCGCAGCCCGGUACCGGAUCCCACCCAGAGCAAGUUUAACGACUAAAUGGCCAAUGCACAACGACUGGUAUAUCAAAGGCCAUGGUAUGUACUACCCUGUCUGUUGGAUG